CUGGAGUGGAACACAGCAAACCAUCACUGUGCAUGAAAACUCUGUUUUUGACUCAGAAAACAACAAAAAUAAUCAGACUAUAUAUGUCUGCUAGUCACUGUGGACUUCUGGUUCCUCACCCUUCAUGAAACUGAUCAAACCAAGAAGAACCAGAUCUCAGUGCAGGUUGUAUCUUUUCAUCAUGAGCUCUGGACCCUCUCAUUAACCUCUUACAAGAGUGCAGGAGACAACAGGCAGCUGGACCGCAUUUGGCCACAUCUUGGGGACGGCCAUGUGUUUGGCAUCGAAGAGAACUCAAAAAUAAAGAAAAUUAAAAAAAACACUU
Molecule: long non-coding RNA, 325 nt
Organism: Acanthopagrus latus (yellowfin seabream)
Lineage: Eukaryota; Metazoa; Chordata; Actinopteri; Spariformes; Sparidae
Exons: 2
Source: RefSeq, a predicted model, not a curated record